UGAGGAAUAUUGGUCAAUGGGCGCGAGCCUGAACCAGCCAAGUAGCGUGAAGGAUGACUGCCCUAUGGGUUGUAAACUUCUUUUAUAGGGGAAUAAAGUUGGCAACGCGUGGCCUUUUGCAUGUACCUUAUGAAAAAGGAUCGGCUAACUCCGUGCCAGCAGCCGCGGUAAUACGGAGGAUCCGAGCGUUAUCCGGAUUUAUUGGGUUUAAAGGGAGCGUAGGCGGGAGGUUAAGUCAGUUGUGAAAGUUUGCGGCUCAACCGUAAAAUCGCAGUUGAUACUGUCCUCCUUGAGUGCGGUACGGGCAGGCGGAAUUCGUGGUGUAGCGGUGAAAUGCUUAGAUAUCACGAAGAACUCCGAUCGCGAAGGCAGCUUGCCGGGCCGUAACUGACGCUGAUGCUCGAAAGUGCGGGUAUCAAACAGG
This 424-nucleotide ribosomal RNA is filed under the name uncultured bacterium. Its description in RNAcentral is "bacterial SSU rRNA". It matches the Rfam family "Bacterial small subunit ribosomal RNA", at positions 355 to 776 of the family's 1533-position model. The record is from RNAcentral.